GGGGGUGUAGCGCAGUGGUAGCGCGUCCGCUUUGCAUGCGGAAGCGGCGCCGUUCGAAAUCCAGCUCCG
Molecule: non-coding RNA, 69 nt
Organism: Aphanomyces cochlioides
Lineage: Eukaryota; Oomycota; Saprolegniomycetes; Saprolegniales; Verrucalvaceae
Source: the annotation of a GenBank genome assembly